GUUUUUUGUAUUUGUAUUUUUACAAAGAUCAUACAUUUUUUAUAUUACGUAUAUAUCGCUUGAUGGUUCCCUUGGACUUUAAACGAAUCGUAAGAAAUUAUAAGACGUAGAAAACUAUUAUUUCUAUACGCAUACAAUUCUUUUUUUUUAUUUUUUUUUAUUUUUAUUUUAAGACAUGGUAAUUCUCUUGUCCAACGGCAAGUUUACCAUUAGUGGCAAGGUCGCCAUAACGGUACAUUUUUCUGUAGAAUCCAUUAACGCACCGAAGAGAUUGAAAUAAUCAUUUGCUUUAGAAUCGUCACCUCGAUAUGCGAAUUUUACAUAUAUACAGCGGCAUUUAUUGAUUUAGAUUGUAUUCUUUUCCGUAUACAAGAAGUGGCGAAAACGCAAGAUCUGCGAUUUCUUUUAUUCAAGUAUGCGAGCGAUGUCACGUCGCGAAGAUACGAUGCGUUCGAUAAAUCUUUUCCCUUUCUCGAGCACGUUGAAACCGGAAAAAGAGGAAAAAGAGCGAAAACCAGAGUGCGAACUUUUACCGUAAUCUCUGGCAAUCAAUGCCGCCUUCUUUGUUCGCCGCGCGCGACUCGAGUAUUCCGCGAGGUAAAACCAGUUUCUUGAGUUAGUGCUUUUGCUUAGGCUUGAAUAUGCGCGCAUACGUGCAUAAGUCAGGUUGCGGCGACGCUGCGUCAUGUAAAUCCGUGAAAAGCGAUGCAAGUACGAUGGAAAACAUUAUACUAAUAGUCGUAUUGGAAUCGUGGAAGGCUGCGAGAUAGUGAAAGGUAGUCUUCGAGGACGGGCGAAGAAGGACGAAGAAGAAGAAGAAGAAGAUGAAGAGGAAGAAAGGAGGAGGAGUAUACCGUGGGAUAAAAAUAGCACGGUACCAUGGCAAAAUAAAAACUAAUGAUACGAACCUGCAGAAUGACGAUCCCAAGAGCCAGACUUGCCGAGCAAGGAGGGAAGCAGAAGAUGCACCAAGAAGCGCGCACACACAGAGACGGAGGAAAAAGGUCGUUGCCUAAAAGAAAGAGCAGGAUUCGCCUUUGAAGGAAGAAGAGAAGCGGGAAAGCUCUGUAUUCUAACUUCUUCUCAAGAUAUAAAUUGUUUGGCAUCAUAAAUAUGACAAAUUUUCACGAUGUCUGUUGAUGAUGAAUUACCUUGUCAAUGAUAAUAACACAACAAUAAAUUGUAAAUUAACAC
Pogonomyrmex barbatus (red harvester ant) is the source of this 1194-nucleotide long non-coding RNA. Lineage: Eukaryota; Metazoa; Arthropoda; Insecta; Hymenoptera; Formicidae. The record is from RefSeq and is a predicted model, not a curated record.